Molecule: long non-coding RNA, 286 nt
Filed under: Mytilus galloprovincialis (Mediterranean mussel)
Lineage: Eukaryota; Metazoa; Mollusca; Bivalvia; Mytilida; Mytilidae
Source: RNAcentral
GUUUUUGGUUAUUAUCUUGAAUACUAUUAUAGAUAGAGAUAAACUUUAAACUGCAAUAAUGUUCAGCAAAGUAAGAUCUACAAUUAAGUGAACAUGACCAAAAUGGUCAGUUGACCUCUUAAGGAGUUAUUGCCCUGUAUAUUCAUUUUUAAACAAUUUUCAUUAGUUUUUACAAAAUAUUUUCCUCUGGAACUAAAGGGCCAAGUUCAUUAUAGAAAGACAAAAUUGUAAGUAGCAAGAAUGUUUGGUAAAGCAAGAUCUCGAAACACAUCAACAUCACCAAAAC